UAAUUCUCGACAGUUAAGAACAAUAACGGCUUCCAAAAAAUACACUAUUGCGGUUACCCAUUAUUGACAUAUUGCUGCACGUACGCAACGGAUGUGACCAAAAUUAUCCUUACCACAAAAUACUAUAUAUAAUUUCCUACAAAAGGGUCAUUUAUUGCACACUCGCAUUGCUAUCUCCAUUUUAAGCUUCUCUCCCACUUUCUUCAUCAGAAUUGUCUGAGCUUAUGACAAUUAUUUCUGGAAGUGGAAGGUGAGCCAGCCACUCAUCCGAGUCGACGGUGAUUUGAUCGGACCCUUGACCUCGAAGACUUGAUCGAGCAUGCUAUUCGAUGACCUAAAUUCUGUACUUAACACUUCAUCGAACUUGGCACCAUGGUGCUCAACGCUUACCUCCUCAUCGUCCGAGGAUAAAACGAUGCAAAAUUCAGCGACCGAACCCAGUAUCGGCGAAUUCAUAUUGGGGUUGAAUGGUUCGUUGCUGGAGGUGGAUGAAUCCAUUAUCUCAUAUCAAUUAA
Molecule: long non-coding RNA, 515 nt
Filed under: Olea europaea (common olive)
Lineage: Eukaryota; Viridiplantae; Streptophyta; Magnoliopsida; Lamiales; Oleaceae
Description: long non-coding RNA (OEUR_LNC011327)
Source: RNAcentral